GAUGAACGCUAGCGGCAGGCUUAACACAUGCAAGUCGAGGGGCAGCGAGGAGUAGCAAUACUCUGUCGGCGACCGGCGAAAGGGUGAGUAACGCGUGAGCAACAUGCCCGUAGGUGGAGGAUAGUCAUUGGAAACGAUGCGUAAUACUCCGUAACAACAGAGGCCGCAUGACCUUUGUUUAAUAGAUUCAUUGCCUACGGAUUGGCUCGCGUACCAUUAGGUAGUUGGUGAGGUAACGGCCCACCAAGCCGACGAUGGUUAGGGGUUCUGAGAGGAAGGUCCCCCACAUUGGAACUGAGACACGGUCCAGACUCCUACGGGAGGCAGCAGUGAGGAAUAUUGGUCAAUGGCCGAAAGGCUGAACCAGCCAUGCCGCGUGCGGGAGGACGGCCCUAUGGGUUGUAAACCGCUUUUGUGUGAGAGCAAUAAGGUCCACGUGUGGAUCGAUGAGAGUAUCAUACGAAUAAGCAUCGGCUAACUCCGUGCCAGCAGCCGCGGUAAUACGGAGGAUGCAAGCGUUAUCCGGAUUUAUUGGGUUUAAAGGGUGCGUAGGCGGGCUGCUAAGCGUGAGGUGAAAUGCCACGGCUCAACCGUGGAACUGCCUCGCGAACUGGUAGUCUUGAAUGCUCCUGCCGUGGGAGGAAUGUGUGGUGUAGCGGUGAAAUGCAUAGAGAUCC
RNAcentral lists this ribosomal RNA (677 nucleotides) under uncultured bacterium. RNAcentral's name for it is "bacterial SSU rRNA". It matches the Rfam family "Bacterial small subunit ribosomal RNA", at positions 28 to 699 of the family's 1533-position model. The record is from RNAcentral.